AGGUGGCAAGCGUUGUCCGGAAUUAUUGGGCGUAAAGCGCGCGCAGGCGGUCCUUUAAGUCUGAUGUGAAAGCCCACGGCUCAACCGUGGAGGGUCAUUGGAAACUGGAGGACUUGAGUACAGAAGAGGAAAGCGGAAUUCCACGUGUAGCGGUGAAAUGCGUAGAGAUGUGGAGGAACACCAGUGGCGAAGGCGGCUUUCUGGUCUGUAACUGACGCUGAGGCGCGAAAGCGUGGGGAGCAA
This 243-nucleotide ribosomal RNA is filed under the name uncultured bacterium. Its description in RNAcentral is "partial 16S ribosomal RNA". It matches the Rfam family "Bacterial small subunit ribosomal RNA", at positions 529 to 771 of the family's 1533-position model. The record is from RNAcentral.